AGGCGUGUAGCUCAGCUGGUUAGAGCACCACCUUGACAUGGUGGGGGUCGUUGGUUCGAGUCCAAUCACGCCUACCA
RNAcentral lists this transfer RNA (77 nucleotides) under Burkholderiales bacterium. RNAcentral's name for it is "tRNA-Val". It matches the Rfam family "tRNA". From Rfam's summary of the family: Transfer RNA (tRNA) molecules are approximately 80 nucleotides in length. Their secondary structure includes four short double-helical elements and three loops (D, anti-codon, and T loops). The record is from RNAcentral. Lineage: Bacteria; Pseudomonadati; Pseudomonadota; Betaproteobacteria; Burkholderiales. RNAcentral also lists the same sequence under 7 other names.